CCUACGGGAGGCAGCAGUGGGGAAUAUUGCACAAUGGGGGGAACCCUGAUGCAGCAACGCCGCGUGGGUGAAGAAGUACUUCGGUAUGUAAAGCCCUGUCAGCAGGGAAGAAAAUGACGGUACCUGACCAAGAAGCCCCGGCUAACUACGUGCCAGCAGCCGCGGUAAUACGUAGGGGGCAAGCGUUAUCCGGAUUUACUGGGUGUAAAGGGAGCGUAGACGGUAAGGCAAGUCUGGAGUGAAAGCCCGGGGCUCAACCACGGGACUGCUUUGGAAACUGUGUUGCUGGAGUGCAGGAGGGGUAAGCGGAAUUCCUAGUGUAGCGGUGAAAUGCGUAGAUAUUAGGAGGAACACCAGUGGCGAAGGCGGCUUACUGGACUGUAACUGACGUUGAGGCUCGAAGGCGUGGGGAGCAAACAGGAUUAGAUACCCGGGUAGUC
RNAcentral lists this ribosomal RNA (440 nucleotides) under uncultured bacterium. RNAcentral's name for it is "partial 16S ribosomal RNA". It matches the Rfam family "Bacterial small subunit ribosomal RNA", at positions 338 to 795 of the family's 1533-position model. The record is from RNAcentral.